UAUUUGUACAAAAAUCCAUAGCUACAUUUUAUGUUUCUUAAACCAAUACAGAGUAUCCAAACAAAAGCCAAUGUCGGAUUUUACAGUAUUUAAAUUACACAGUUAAGGUAGACAAAGUUGAGUUGAGAAAUAUGUACAAUAUUUAUUA
Long non-coding RNA from Melitaea cinxia (Glanville fritillary), 148 nucleotides. RefSeq lists it as uncharacterized. NCBI's taxonomy places the organism in Eukaryota, Metazoa, Arthropoda, Insecta, Lepidoptera, Nymphalidae. The transcript has 3 exons. The record is from RefSeq and is a predicted model, not a curated record.